CUGUUUCUCAUGCAUUUUUGCAUUCCCUC
RNAcentral lists this non-coding RNA (29 nucleotides) under Mus musculus (house mouse). RNAcentral also lists the same sequence under 1 other name. Lineage: Eukaryota; Metazoa; Chordata; Mammalia; Rodentia; Muridae. The record is from RNAcentral.